This is a long non-coding RNA of Rhopalosiphum padi (bird cherry-oat aphid), 1832 nucleotides long. RefSeq lists it as uncharacterized. NCBI's taxonomy places the organism in Eukaryota, Metazoa, Arthropoda, Insecta, Hemiptera, Aphididae. The record is from RefSeq and is a predicted model, not a curated record. The transcript is spliced from 3 exons.
UUUUUUUAAUUUGAAGUAAUGUAAAUAAAUUAAAUUGUUUAUUUUAGAUUAUAUUAUGAUUUGCCUAAGUCUAAUUGGACUCCUAUUAUGGCUGAACAUUUUUGGGAGCACACUAGAUUACCAUGUUGCUUAUCAUUUAAAAGGGCAAAAGUUACCCCUGAUGGAUGUAAUUAGGUAUAUGUAGUAGUUGUUGCGCGAUGUACUGUUUGUAAAUCAAACUUUAAAGGAACUAUAGAUGAAAGACCAGCAGAAAACUAGAGUGCUAAUGAACUGUAUUUAUACCGGCAAUUACAAUGAAGAACAUACAAUUUCACGAAAACGACGAAUGUAAACGCGGUUAAAGACGCCGCCCGAAUACAGUACCAAAUAUUACAGCGAUAGUGGCACGUUACGACUGCGGCGAAAAUUGUUCACAGGUCAGCGUUGUGGUGGUCAACGGCAAUCCCAAUCAAAUUACCGGCCGGCGAGGCCUCAGCCACAGUCAGGAUAUAAUAUAUACUAUACAGAUAUCGUUUAGUACCAUCGUGCCACCGCAAUUAGACAUCGUCACUGCAACACUCAAAAACCUGCUAACCAUUAUUGGUCUAUAUCUUGGUGAGAUGUCUCCUACGUCCUACACCGACAUUUUACGAUCUCAAAAUACCUUUUGCGAUUUCGAUCGGCUUCGUUAUCGGUCGCCGUAUUAUUUUUAUGCGUCCCCGAUUGCGUUCGGCCGUUCGUCAGCCUCCGCUCGCGUUGCGACGCGUAAACGUCGUACACCACCAGGCCGUUUUUAUAUUGUCGUGCGUUCGAGUGUGCCACCACUUCGCGGCAACCUACUCGGUGUUAAACGCUUCAGUACGUUUUUAAUAUUUUUAUCUUUGUUGUCCGACUUUUUCGCCGGUUGUUCCAUCGCCGCACGCCAACUUCUCUGUCGCUUGUCGUUACCUUUGUACUCGCAAUGCGACGUUUCGUCUCCAUCGAUCAGUCGGUCGUAUUGUUCCGUAACGAUAAAUUGUCGUAAAUGAGUAACGAUUGCCAUAACUGCUGUAUUGGUGUCAUCGAGACAGCAUCGCUGUCCACUCCGGUACCGCUGGCCAUCAUCGUCGCCGGGCCGCUCGAUUGUAAAAGGCGGGUAUCGUUCGGCUGUCCGCCGUGCUCAGGGGGUGUAACGCGUCUACCUAUAUACGAGCGUGCGACACCCGUGAACUCGUCACACGACGGAGUGCCGGAGAACGUAUACGUUGGUGAUUUGUCGCCAAACUCCGUAGUGCCUCCUCAUUUUCGUACUCCCGAUCGUGCAUCGCCGCAGUCGGCAUAUGCGAAGGUUACACAUGACAACCACAACUUUACGUAUGUCGUCGGCGCGCCAACAUGUAUAUCUUUGUGUAAUUCCACGCUGUUUACGUUUACGCUGCAAAGAUGGUAAUCUGGUUACACUACAGAUGCCGGCCGUGGCUAUAUCAAUCACCAUAAUAUAUACGUAUAACUGAUUACAAUAAUAUUAUACAAACUAGUUAAUAUGAUACCGCGGCGUUUUAUAUAGAUAAUUUAGUAGCACCUCUGUAGUGAGCACAUAUUAUAAUAUUAUUAUUAUUAUUAUUUACAGUAAUAUACUUAUUAUUGUCUAUACACUAUAUAUGUAUACGAUUUUUAUUGUUUAAUAUAAACAUAUCUUGUUAUUUACAUUUUAUUUGACAACCUAUAGUAGAAUAAUAAUUAAAAGUAAACAAUAUAUUAUUUCAAAUUUAAUAGGCGUUUGGAUGAAGUAUAAACUAGAUGUGUAUAUGUUACUGUCCCCCCCCUCCCGCUACCACUGCUACAGACACACGACCUAAUUACUGAUACUUUAA